UGGGGAAUCUUGCACAAUGGGGGAAACCCUGAUGCAGCCAUGCCGCGUGGAGGAAGACACCCCUACGGGGCGUAAACUCCUUUUCUGCGCGAAGAAACCCCAGUUGUUCUGGGUGUGACGGUACCGCAGGAAUAAGGACCGGCUAACUCCGUGCCAGCAGCCGCGGUAAUACGGAGGGUGCAAGCGUUGUCCGGAAUCACUGGGCGUAAAGGGUGCGCAGGCGGGGCAGCAAGUCGGAGGUGAAAGCCCAUGGCUCAACCAUGGAAGUGCCUUCGAUACUGUUGCUCUUGAGUCCCGGAGAGGUUGUCGGAAUUCGUGGUGUAGCGGUGAAAUGCGUAGAUAUCACGAGGAACACCAGAGGCGAAAGCGGACAACUGGACGGGUACUGACGCUCAGGCACGAAAGCGUGGGGAGCAAACA
RNAcentral lists this ribosomal RNA (420 nucleotides) under uncultured bacterium. RNAcentral describes it as "bacterial SSU rRNA". It matches the Rfam family "Bacterial small subunit ribosomal RNA", at positions 355 to 774 of the family's 1533-position model. The record is from RNAcentral.